CUUGCCCUUGUUUUUUAUCAAAAUUAUACAUGCAAGCCUCCACAUGCCAGUGAGAAUGCCCACACACCCCAAACAGACAACUGGAGCAGGUAUCAGGAUACAACACUACUUAGCCAAAGACACCUUGCGCAUGCCACACCCACACGGGCCCUCAGCAGUAAUUAACAUUAAAUAAAUGAGCGAAAGCUCGAUUUAGUUAUGGUAGAUAUGGCCGGUAAAUUUCGUGCCAGCCACCGCGGUUAUACGAAAGACCAAAAACAAGGACCAACGGCGUAAAGCGUGACUAGAGACAUAAACCAUUAAAGGAGUACAGCGGCCAAGUUGUAAAAUACUACUGCACGUUAGAACCACAACACAAAUGCCUUUAAACUACUUCUCCUCACGAAAGCUAAGAAACAAACUGGGAUUAGAUACCCCACUAUGCUUAGCCCUAAACACAGAUAAUACAAACACAAUAUUAUCCGCCAGAGAACUACAAGCGAAAAGCUCGAAACUCUAAGGACUUGGCGGUGCUUCAAAUCAACCUAGAGGAGCCUGUCCUAUAAUCGAUACCCCACGUUUCACCCCACCUCUCCUAGCCAACCAGCCUAUAUACCGCCGUCGCCAGCCUACCCUAUGAAAGAAACAAAGUGGGCAAAAAAGUUUACAACUAGUACGUCAGGUCAAGGUGUAGCACACGGAGAGGAAGAGAUGGGCUACAUUUUAUCAAAGAAAAAACACGAAUAAUGUUUUGAAACACACACUUGAAGGCGGAUUUAGUAGUAAAAUAAACAAGAAUAGUUAUUUUAAACCUGCUCUGAAGCGCGCACACACCGCCCGUCACCCUCAUCACAUGUAACACAACAUAACAU
Molecule: non-coding RNA, 851 nt
Filed under: Lerista connivens
Lineage: Eukaryota; Metazoa; Chordata; Lepidosauria; Squamata; Scincidae
Source: RNAcentral